This 467-nucleotide ribosomal RNA is filed under the name uncultured bacterium. RNAcentral's name for it is "partial 16S ribosomal RNA". It matches the Rfam family "Bacterial small subunit ribosomal RNA", at positions 28 to 506 of the family's 1533-position model. The record is from RNAcentral.
GACGAACGCUGGCGGCGUGCUUAACACAUGCAAGUCGAACGGAAAGUCCCUGCUUUUGUGGGGUGCUCGAGUGGCGAACGGGUGAGUAACACGUGAGUAACCUGCCCUUGACUUUGGGAUAACUUCAGGAAACUGGGGCUAAUACCGGAUAGGAUUUCCUGCUGCAUGGUGGUGGUUGGAAAGUUUCGGGGGUUCGGGCGGUUGUCGCGGCUUCUCAGCCUGUUGGUGGGGUAGUGGCUUAACAAGGCCUUGACGGGUAGCCGGCCUGAGAGGAUAAACGGCCAAGUUGGGAAUGGGAGACGGCCGAGAGGCAUACGGGGGGAAGGAGUGGGGAAUAAUGGAGAAUGGGCGGAAGAGGGAUGAAGCAACGCGGCGUGCGGGAUGACGGCGUUAGGGUUGUAAACCGAUUUCGCGUGUGGCGAGGCGUGAGGGAGGGAAAUGGGUAAAGAGGCACGGGCAAACUACGU